GGACUACCCGGGUUUCUAAUCCUGUUUGCUCCCCUUGCUCUCGCGCCUCAGCGUCAGGUAUUAACUAGAAAACCGCUUUCGCCACCGGUGUUCUUCCACAUAUCUACGCAUUUCACCGCUACACGUGGAAUUCCGUUUUCUCCGUCAACCCUCUGAGGGAGGCAGUUUCAAAUGCAGCUCCAAAGUUGAGCUUUGGAAUUUCACAUCUGACUUACCCCUCCGCCUACGCGCCCUUUACGCCCAAUAAUUCCGAUUAAUGCUUGCACUCUCCGUAUUACCGCGGCUGCUGGCAC
This 293-nucleotide ribosomal RNA is filed under the name uncultured bacterium. RNAcentral's name for it is "partial 16S ribosomal RNA". The record is from RNAcentral.